GUAAAGACGGUGGCGAAUUUCCUAAUCCAACUCGGAAAGCCAAAUACCGACGGACCUGGACAAAGUGCAUGCACAUUCUUUCUUUUAUAUUAGUGGCCCAAAGAACAUCGAAAGAGUAUACAGCAAUCUUUGUUAUAUUAUCAGACGACUACUCUAAAGCUAAAAACAUGAAGCGUCCAUCUGACCUACCAGUCUUUAUUC
This 201-nucleotide long non-coding RNA is filed under the name Eucalyptus grandis. RNAcentral describes it as "long non-coding RNA (EGRA_LNC000393)". Lineage: Eukaryota; Viridiplantae; Streptophyta; Magnoliopsida; Myrtales; Myrtaceae. The record is from RNAcentral.